RNAcentral lists this unclassified non-coding RNA (181 nucleotides) under uncultured Clavariaceae. RNAcentral describes it as "sequence contains ITS1". The record is from RNAcentral. Lineage: Eukaryota; Fungi; Basidiomycota; Agaricomycetes; Agaricales; Clavariaceae.
UUGAAUAUAUAAUACUGGGGAUGCUGCUGGCCAUUGUUAUGGUAAUGUGCACUCCUCUAAUAUUCAAAUCCACCUGUGCACAUAGAGUAGGCAAUGGAUUCAGUUUCCUUGCCUAUGUUUUUAUUUACACAUUUGUGAAAGAUUGUUUAUAUAUGUAUAUAUAUAUAUAAAAACAAUAUUA